This 686-nucleotide ribosomal RNA is filed under the name uncultured bacterium. RNAcentral describes it as "bacterial SSU rRNA". It matches the Rfam family "Bacterial small subunit ribosomal RNA", at positions 124 to 808 of the family's 1533-position model. The record is from RNAcentral.
ACCUGCCGUCUACUCUUGGACAGCCUUCUGAAAGGAAGAUUAAUACAAGAUGGCAUCAUGAGUCCGCAUGUUCACAUGAUUAAAGGUAUUCCGGUAGACGAUGGGGAUGCGUUCCAUUAGAUAGUAGGCGGGGUAACGGCCCACCUAGUCUUCGAUGGAUAGGGGUUCUGAGAGGAAGGUCCCCCACAUUGGAACUGAGACACGGUCCAAACUCCUACGGGAGGCAGCAGUGAGGAAUAUUGGUCAAUGGGCGAGAGCCUGAACCAGCCAAGUAGCGUGAAGGAUGACUGCCCUAUGGGUUGUAAACUUCUUUUAUAAAGGAAUAAAGUCGGGUAUGGAUACCCGUUUGCAUGUACUUUAUGAAUAAGGAUCGGCUAACUCCGUGCCAGCAGCCGCGGUAAUACGGAGGAUCCGAGCGUUAUCCGGAUUUAUUGGGUUUAAAGGGAGCGUAGAUGGAUGUUUAAGUCAGUUGUGAAAGUUUGCGGCUCAACCGUAAAAUUGCAGUUGAUACUGGAUAUCUUGAGUGCAGUUGAGGCAGGCGGAAUUCGUGGUGUAGCGGUGAAAUGCUUAGAUAUCACGAAGAACUCCGAUUGCGAAGGCAGCCUGCUAAGCUGCAACUGACAUUGAGGCUCGAAAGUGUGGGUAUCAAACAGGAUUAGAUACCCUGGUAGUCCACACGGUAAACG